RNAcentral lists this ribosomal RNA (497 nucleotides) under uncultured bacterium. RNAcentral describes it as "partial 16S ribosomal RNA". It matches the Rfam family "Bacterial small subunit ribosomal RNA", at positions 28 to 507 of the family's 1533-position model. The record is from RNAcentral.
GAUGAACGCUGGCGGCGUGCCUAAUACAUGCGAGUCGAGCGAACAGACGAGGAGCUUGCUCCUCUGACGUUAGCGGCGGACGGGUGAGUAACACGUGGAUAACCUACCUAUAAGACUGGGAUAACUUCGGGAAACCGGAGCUAAUACCGGAUAAUAUAUUGAACCGCAUGGUUCAAUAGUGAAAGACGGUUUUGCUGUCACUUAUAGAUGGAUCCGCGCCGCAUUAGCUAGUUGGUAAGGUAACGGCUUACCAAGGCAACGAUGCGUAGCCGACCUGAGAGGGUGAUCCGCCCCCCUGGACCUGAGACCCGGUCCAGCCUCCUCCGGGCGGCAGCAGUAGGGCAUCUUCCGCCAUGGGCGAAAGCUUGACGGAGCAACGCCGCGUGAGUGAUGAAGGUCUUCGGAUCGUAAAACUCUGUUAUUAGGGAAGAACAAAUGUGUAAGUAACUAUGCACGUCUUGACGGUACCUAAUCAGAAAGCCACGGCUAACUACGUG